Molecule: transfer RNA, 64 nt
Filed under: Aparatermes sp. A TB-2017
Lineage: Eukaryota; Metazoa; Arthropoda; Insecta; Blattodea; Termitidae
Description: tRNA-Glu
Rfam family: tRNA
About the family: Transfer RNA (tRNA) molecules are approximately 80 nucleotides in length. Their secondary structure includes four short double-helical elements and three loops (D, anti-codon, and T loops). Further hydrogen bonds mediate the characteristic L-shaped molecular structure. tRNAs have two regions of fundamental functional importance: the anti-codon, which is responsible for specific mRNA codon recognition, and the 3' end, to which the tRNAs corresponding amino acid is attached (by aminoacyl-tRNA synthetases). tRNAs cope with the degeneracy of the genetic code in two manners: having more than one tRNA (with a specific anti-codon) for a particular amino acid; and 'wobble' base-pairing, i.e. permitting non-standard base-pairing at the 3rd anti-codon position.
Source: RNAcentral
AUUUAUAUAGUUUAGGAAAACAUUACAUUUUCACUGUAAAGACAAAGGAGUACUUUUAUAAAUA